CGGAACGGGUGAGUAAUACAUAAGUAACCUGCCCUAGACAGGGGGAUAACGUAUUGGAAACGAUAGCUAAGACCGCAUAGGUACGGACACUGCAUGGUGACCGUAUUAAAAGUGCCUCAAAGCACNGGUAGAGGAUGGACUUAUGGCGCAUUAGCUGGUUGGCGGGGUAACGGCCCACCAAGGCGACGAUGCGUAGCCGACCUGAGAGGGUGACCGGCCACACUGGGACUGAGACACGGCCCAGACUCCUACGGGAGGCAGCAUG
This 265-nucleotide ribosomal RNA is filed under the name uncultured bacterium. RNAcentral's name for it is "partial 16S ribosomal RNA". It matches the Rfam family "Bacterial small subunit ribosomal RNA", at positions 98 to 353 of the family's 1533-position model. The record is from RNAcentral.